UACGUAGGGACCAAGCGUUGUUCGGAUUUACUGGGCGUAAAGGGCGCGUAGGCGGCAAUUCAAGUCAUCUGUGAAAUCUCCGGGCUUAACCCGGAACGGUCAGGUGAUACUGUUUUGCUAGAGUGUGGAAGGGGCAAUCGGAAUUCUCGGUGUAGCGGUGAAAUGCGUAGAUAUCGAGAGGAACACCAGAGGAGAAGACGGGUUGCUGGGCCGACACUGACGCUGACAGCGCGAAAGCCAGGGGAGCAAACGGG
This 254-nucleotide ribosomal RNA is filed under the name uncultured bacterium. Its description in RNAcentral is "partial 16S ribosomal RNA". It matches the Rfam family "Bacterial small subunit ribosomal RNA", at positions 524 to 776 of the family's 1533-position model. The record is from RNAcentral.